This 253-nucleotide ribosomal RNA is filed under the name uncultured bacterium. RNAcentral's name for it is "partial 16S ribosomal RNA". It matches the Rfam family "Bacterial small subunit ribosomal RNA", at positions 524 to 776 of the family's 1533-position model. The record is from RNAcentral.
UACGAAGGGGGCUAGCGUUGUUCGGAAUCACUGGGCGUAAAGGGCGCGUAGGCGGCCGAUCAAGUCGGGGGUGAAAGCCUGUGGCUCAACCACAGAAUGGCCUUCGAUACUGGUGGGCUCGAGACCGGAAGAGGUUGGUGGAACUGCGAGUGUAGAGGUGAAAUUCGUAGAUAUUCGGAAGAACACCAGUGGCGAAGGCGGCUCACUGGACUGGUAUUGACGCUGAGGUGCGAAAGCGUGGGGAGCAAACAGG